RNAcentral lists this unclassified non-coding RNA (403 nucleotides) under soil metagenome. RNAcentral describes it as "partial contains 5.8S ribosomal RNA, internal transcribed spacer 2, and large subunit ribosomal RNA". The stretch from base 1 to 121 matches the Rfam family "5.8S ribosomal RNA", at positions 35 to 154 of the family's 154-position model. The record is from RNAcentral.
GAUGAAGAACGUAGCAAAAUGCGAUACUUGGUGUGAAUUGCAGAAUCCCGUGAACCAUCGAGUUUUUGAACGCAAGUUGCGCCCGAAGCCUUUGGCCGAGGGCACGUCUGCCUGGGCGUCACGCAUCGCGUCGCCCCCCACAAAUUCUCCGUCAGGGGAGCUUGUGUUUCGGGGGCGGAUACUGGUCUCCCGUGCUCAUGGCGCGGUUGGCCGAAAUAGGAGUCCCUUCGAUGGACGCACGAACUAGUGGUGGUCGUAAAAACCCUUGUCUUUUGUUUCGUGCCGUUAGUCGCGAGGGAAGCUCUUCAAAAACCCCAGCGCGUCGUCUCUUGACGGCGCUUCGACCGCGACCCCAGGUCAGGCGGGACUACCCGCUGAGUUUAAGCAUAUCAAUAAGCGGGGA